Molecule: ribosomal RNA, 468 nt
Filed under: uncultured bacterium
Lineage: Bacteria
Description: partial 16S ribosomal RNA
Rfam family: Bacterial small subunit ribosomal RNA
Source: RNAcentral
GACGAACGCUGGCGGCGUGCUUAACACAUGCAAGUCGAACGGUAAGGCCCUGUUUUUGUUGGGCGCUCGAGUAGCGGACGGGUGACUAACAAGUAAGUAACCUGCCCUUGACUUUGGGCUAACUUCAGGAAACUGGGGCUAUUACCGUAUACGCGUUCCUGCUGGAUGGUGGUGGUAGGAACGUUUGGGCGGUGGGGGAUGGACUGCCGGCUUACUAGCUGGUUGGUGGGGUAGUGGCUUACCAAGGCUUUGACGGGUGGCCGGCCUGGGGGGGUGACCGGCAACAUUGGGACUGGGAUACGGCCCGGACUCCUACGGGGGGAAGAAGGGGGGAAUAUUGAACAAUGGGCGGAGCCCUAAUGCAGCAACGCCGCGUGCGGGUUGACGGCCUUCGGGUUUAAAACCGUUUUCGCCUGUAACGAGGCGUGAGUGACGGUAAUGGGUAAAGAAGCACCGGCUAACUACGUG